CCUACGGGGGGCUGCAGUGAGGAAUAUUGGUCAAUGGGCGGAAGCCUGAACCAGCCAAGUCGCGUGAGGGAUUAAGGCCCUGCGGGUCGUAACCCUCUUUUGCCGGGGAGCAGAGGUCCGGACGUGUCCGGGCCGGGAGAGUACCCGGAGAAAAAGCAUCGGCUAACUCCGUGCCAGCAGCCGCGGUAAUACGUGGGGUGCGAGCGUUAUCCGGAUUGAUUGGGUUUAAAGGGUGCGUAAGCGGGCAUUUGAGCCGGCGGUCAAAUGUCGGGGCUCAAUCACGGCAUGCAGUCGGAACUGGGGGCCUUGAGUGGGCGAGAAGUAUGCGGAAGGCGUGGUGUAGCGGUGAAAUGCAUAGAUAUCACGCAGAACCCCGAUUGCGAAGGCAGCAUACCGGCGCCCUACUGACGCUGAGGCACGAAAGUGCGGGUAUCGAACAGGAUUAGAUACCCUUGUAGUC
This 460-nucleotide ribosomal RNA is filed under the name uncultured bacterium. Its description in RNAcentral is "partial 16S ribosomal RNA". It matches the Rfam family "Bacterial small subunit ribosomal RNA", at positions 338 to 795 of the family's 1533-position model. The record is from RNAcentral.